Molecule: ribosomal RNA, 253 nt
Filed under: uncultured bacterium
Lineage: Bacteria
Description: partial 16S ribosomal RNA
Rfam family: Bacterial small subunit ribosomal RNA
Source: RNAcentral
UACGUAGGGUGCAAGCGUUGUCCGGAAUUAUUGGGCGUAAAGAGCUUGUAGGCGGUUUGUCGCGUCUGCUGUGAAAUUUCGGGGCUCAACCCCGAACUUGCAGUGGGUACGGGCAGACUAGAGUGCGGUAGGGGAGACUGGAAUUCCUGGUGUAGCGGUGAAAUGCGCAGAUAUCAGGAGGAACACCGGUGGCGAAGGCGGGUCUCUGGGCCGAUACUGACGCUGAGGAGCGAAAGCGUGGGGAGCGAACAGG